CCCAUCUGGGCUGACAAACGAGGGGAGCCGGGCACAGGGCUCCAGCCACAGGUGCUGUCCCCAUGAGGGGAUGGAUGGACAAGGGUGCUGGGGUGGUGAGCACAGUGUUGGUGUUGGACCAUUUCCAAAUGGAUUUUGCAUCUCAGGGAGUCCUUCCCCGUGGGAAGCAGUGCUGGAGCUGGAGUUCAGGCUGGGGUUGCUGGGAGCUGCUCCAAUGUCUGUGGCCAUAGGAAAUCAGUGCAAGCACAAGCAUCCUCAACACUCCUCCUUCCCUUUACACAGGUCUUUGGAUGCUGGUCCUCUGCCUGGAAAAGAGCAAUUCCUGAAAAAUCCUCCUUGCUGACCUGCCUCCCGUGGACACAUUCCUCCAUCUGGGUCUCCAAAACCUGCCUGCUCCAGUGGCAUCGUUCCUGGCCUUCCUGCCUGCAGGAGUAGUAAAGCUGAGCUCGUGUCUGACACGUGGCUGCCCCUGCUCUGAGGGAGGAUCCGUCCCCCUGGCCAUGCAGAGCUGUUUGGAAAGGCUGUGGAGUGCCAGUGAAGGAAAUCAGUGAAGAUGCUAAGGACAAGGCUCCAGCAGUUCUGCCUCCACCCCCAGCCCAGCUGCCCCAUGCCUGGCCAGGCUGAGCAGCCCCCCUGUGUCUGUGGGACAGCCAAGGGGGACACUGAGGGGGACAGAGGCUGUUGGCAGGAGAGGGGGAGCAGAGUGGGGCAGAGCUGCCAUCAGCUCUGGGAUGCUCCAGCCUCUGAGCCAGGAGAGCAGGAGGCACGGACAGGACUGCUGGGAGGGAAAUCCAGUGGCAGCUGCCAGAGGGACCCCAGGGGGCUCAGUGGGGAUGCACCACAACCCCCAUUGAAUGGCAGCAGCCUGGCCUUGGUGGAGGAGCCUGCAGCCCACCCCAAGUGCUCUGGCUCUGCCCCAGAGCUGCCCCUCACAGCAGACAGCCCCACGGGUAACCCCAGCCAGGAGUGGAAAGUGGUAAAGAUCCAACGGGUCAUCAUCAACCCUGACUUUGAGCCAAGGAAAACAGGUCUCUCCCGCAGUGCCAGCCUCUCGGAGAAGGAGCUGAAGGAGGCGAAGGCGCAGAGCCAGAGGAUCGCGGCUCAGCUCACCACGGCGCCCGGCCCCAGCUCCAAGGGUGUCCUGCUGUUCCACCGGCGCAGGCAGCGCGUUGAGGGGCUCACGGGGGCCGGGCAUGGCGGGGGGCUGCCCCUGAGCC
This 1217-nucleotide long non-coding RNA is filed under the name Catharus ustulatus (Swainson's thrush). RNAcentral's name for it is "lncRNA (ENSCUSG00005011299.1)". The record is from RNAcentral. Lineage: Eukaryota; Metazoa; Chordata; Aves; Passeriformes; Turdidae.